AGCAGCCGCGGUAAUUCCAGCUCCAAUAGCGUAUAUUAAAGUUGUUGCAGUUAAAAAGCUCGUAGUUGAAUUUCGGGGUCAGUAGGCUGGUCGUGCCACGGGUAUGUACUGGUCUCACUGAUUCCUCCUUCCUGAUGAACCGUAAUGCCAUUAAUUUGGUGUUGCGGGGAAUCUGGACUGUUACUUUGAAAAAAUUAGAGUGUUUAAAGCAGGCUAACGCUUGAAUACAUUAGCAUGGAAUAAUGAAAUAGGACGAUCGAUCCUAUUUUGUUGGUUUCUAGGAUUGACGUAAUGAUUAAUAGGGAUAGUUGGGGGCAUUAGUAUUCAAUUGUCAGAGGUGAAAUUCUUGGAUUUAUUGAAGACUAACUACUGCGAAAGCAUUUGCCAAGGAUGUUUUCAUUAAUCAAGAACGAAAGUUAGGGGAUCGAAGACGAUCAGAUACCGUCGUAGUCUUAACCAUAAACUAUGCCGACUAGGGAUCGGAUGAUGUUAAUUUUUUAAUGACUCAUUCGGCGCCG
This 518-nucleotide ribosomal RNA is filed under the name uncultured Glomus. RNAcentral's name for it is "SSU rRNA". It matches the Rfam family "Eukaryotic small subunit ribosomal RNA", at positions 569 to 1088 of the family's 1831-position model. The record is from RNAcentral. Lineage: Eukaryota; Fungi; Glomeromycota; Glomeromycetes; Glomerales; Glomeraceae.